RNAcentral lists this long non-coding RNA (480 nucleotides) under Struthio camelus australis. RNAcentral's name for it is "lncRNA (ENSSCUG00000015796.1)". The record is from RNAcentral. Lineage: Eukaryota; Metazoa; Chordata; Aves; Struthioniformes; Struthionidae.
AUUGCUUCCUCUUAUUUACCCACUGCACUAACUGAGAACACGUGACCAGGUAUUCCUUGCCCAAAUUCUUUAUAAACCACCAACCAAACUUAGUGUCUGGUGGUUUACGGCAAGCUGUGGAAAACGCCUCGGAAAACUUUAAUUAAUGCACUGCAUGACAGCCUGAAGACUAAUUACAGGUACCACCUUCUAUAGAAAGGAGGAAGAAAACAGGACUUUUCAUCACUCCAGGACUCAGACCUUCUCUCUACAGCAGUAUAAUUCAUAGGUGGGCAAACCAGAUUUGGUUCACUUCACAAGGUGGGGUUGAAUAUUUAAAGAGCUCCUGGUACUUCACUCACCUCAGCAGAUGGACAGCCAAGGAGCCUGAAGGAGGAAAAAGCUGAAGGUUCAUGGGACUAUUAUAGACUGCUACUAAGGUCGCAACUUAGUUUUGAAGAAUGCUAAUAUUUAUAAUCAUGGAAAAAAUUAUCACACAUC